CUGGGGGUGAGACACGGCCCAGACUCUUCCGGGAGGCAGCAGUGGGGAAUUUUCCCCAAGGGGCGAAACCCGGACGGAGCAAUACCGCGUGAGGGAGGAAGGCUUUUGGGUUGUAAACCUCUUUUAUUAAGGAAGAAGCAAGUGACGGUACUUAAUGAAUCAGCAUCGGCUAACUCCGUGCCAGCAGCCGCGGUAAUACGGAGGAUGCAAGCGUUAUCCGGAAUCAUUGGGCGUAAAGCGUCCGCAGGUGGUCAAUCGUGUCUGCCGUUAAAGACAGAAGCUCAACUUCUGAGAGGCGGUGGAAACUGGUUGACUAGAGUACGGUAGGGGUUGAGGGAAUUCCCAGUGUAGCGGUGAAAUGCGUAGAUAUUGGGAAGAAC
Molecule: ribosomal RNA, 380 nt
Filed under: Dermocarpella sp. HSC11
Lineage: Bacteria; Bacillati; Cyanobacteriota; Cyanophyceae; Pleurocapsales; Dermocarpellaceae
Description: bacterial SSU rRNA
Rfam family: Bacterial small subunit ribosomal RNA
Source: RNAcentral